UAUAUACUCCCUCCGUUCCAAAUUACUCGUCGCUGAAAUGGAUGUAUCUAGAACAAAUAUACAUCUAGAUACAUCCAUACGUGCGACAAGUAAUUCGGAACGGAGGGAGUACAUC
This is a non-coding RNA of Triticum aestivum (bread wheat), 115 nucleotides long. NCBI's taxonomy places the organism in Eukaryota, Viridiplantae, Streptophyta, Magnoliopsida, Poales, Poaceae. The record is from Rfam.